RNAcentral lists this unclassified non-coding RNA (202 nucleotides) under Hevea brasiliensis (rubber tree). Lineage: Eukaryota; Viridiplantae; Streptophyta; Magnoliopsida; Malpighiales; Euphorbiaceae. The record is from RNAcentral.
ACCUCUCUUUGCAAGCUGGGUAAGGUGCCUGCACAUUUUGAUCACGAUUAAUGGAAAAAAAGCAUUGAAAUUAUCCAGUAAGGUACAAGCAAUCCUUAUUUUAUUACAAAUUGGACAUAAGAUGAUAGAAAGGGAAAGAAUGUUGAAACUCAGGAAUAUGAAGUAUAAGUAGCUUUUUCUCUCCCCCUGAAAUGUCUUGACA